Zingiber officinale is the source of this 1140-nucleotide long non-coding RNA. RefSeq lists it as uncharacterized. NCBI's taxonomy places the organism in Eukaryota, Viridiplantae, Streptophyta, Magnoliopsida, Zingiberales, Zingiberaceae. The record is from RefSeq and is a predicted model, not a curated record. The transcript is spliced from 2 exons.
AGAUUAGGUUUCAUUGAAUGUUUUGCUAUUUCAUUUAUUAGUUUAAUUCUGUUAAUGGUGAAAUUGUAGUGUAGAGUGACAAUGCAUUAUGAGAUCACUAUUAAUGGGUAGAUAAGAUGUCUUUUAUUCUAUUAAUGGAUAUAUUCCAGCAAGAGGACUGCGGCCACAGAGGCCUGCAAGUCAUUUGAGGAAUCACAGGUCGAUAAUUAAUUCCCAACAAUAUUUUUUCUUCUUCUUAAUUCUUCUUCUUCUUUAAUUUGCUUAUGUAUAUAAUCUAUCUUGAUGUUGCAGGAGGAGAACACCAAGGAGUUUGAGGAGAGGAAGAUUGAACUUGAAGCUAAGGCUCUAGAGAUCUAUCAGGCCUCUGACGCUGAUAUCAAGGUCUGCAUUACUUGUCAAAGUUAAAUUUGAUCGGAAUUCCAUAAAGAACAAGGUCUGUGGCUUCCUGGUUACCCUAGUAUGCUGUAUUGCCUCAGCACAUAUCUUGCUCUGUUGCCUCGUUUCGUUGCAUGAACACUACAGUGGUGAUAGAAAUGCUUCUCUCUUAUUUUCUGAUAUUCACUGCAUUACAUGAUUCAGUUGUAACUUAUGACUAAUGUUUAGUUCAUUUUCAUAUUACUUGAAUCAAUCAUUGCAGGUAUGUUGCCGAAAAAUUUGUACAUAACAAUGUGGUUUCUUAAUCAAGAAACUACUUUUCAUUAAAUAAAAGGUGGCUGACAUUCCGUGUUGAAUCAUUAAAUUGGUUUAGUGGUUCCUCUCCUAUCAAGGCUAGACAACUGCAGUGCAAGAUUAUUUCAACAAACUUGGUUGGUUCAUUAAUCCUUAUGAAGUAAUUCAUCUCAUGGAGUUCGAGACAAGGGAGGGCAAAGGGAAGAAAUCAUAGACAUGCAUGCUACUAGCAAGAGGAUAUAUGAAGACAUUAUUGAAAGUAAAAAAGUAUUGAACUUCUUAUCACAAAAAAUGGGAAGAAAAGUUUAUCAAGUAAGGUAGGCAAAGCAAAGAAAAGGAGAAGGUUUGUAAAAUGAUUCAAGAGGUGCAAUAUUCAAAUCAUUUAUAUCUAGGAGGAUCUGAUCCCUGUGAUCAUGAGCGUCGUGAUAGAAUGUAAAGAUUAGAUUACUUAAGGUGAGAUUUAAAAAUUUA